AUGUUACUAUUAUGUGCAGGACGUCUAUAUUGUUGCAUGAAGGAAACAAAAUUUCCAUAUGGAUGGCACUUAUUUCUUCAAAUACCUAUACUGAAUGUGCCAUAUUGCAACCUCUCAUUUACACAGCCAUGUCAUGUCCUUUGUUUAAUUGCACUGGACUUUUGGUGCUAUGUUGGAUAUGACAGGUUUUGUUGCUUAAACACAUAUACUAACAGGAAUAAGCAUCAGGUAUGUAAAUUGAAUUUCAGUCUGAGUCAUGCUAAAUCGACAGUAGGCUUUGAAAAUUAUGAGGACAGUGUGCUUAUAGUCUGUACCUAA
This 318-nucleotide ribosomal RNA is filed under the name Triticum aestivum (bread wheat). RNAcentral's name for it is "partial small subunit ribosomal RNA". Lineage: Eukaryota; Viridiplantae; Streptophyta; Magnoliopsida; Poales; Poaceae. The record is from RNAcentral.